Long non-coding RNA from Symphalangus syndactylus (siamang), 813 nucleotides. RefSeq lists it as uncharacterized. The record is from RefSeq and is a predicted model, not a curated record. Lineage: Eukaryota; Metazoa; Chordata; Mammalia; Primates; Hylobatidae.
GCGGCCGCCCAGGCCCGACCGGCGGGCGUCCCCGGCCUCCUGCUCCCGGGCGGGUGACGACUGCGCGGCGCGUGUCUCCAGGGGCGGGGCCCGCGUCGUCAGGGGCGGAUCCUGAGCCCAUUGGCGACUAGGUUUCUUGCACGUCUGACACGGAUGGAUCCAGCUAGAUGUCUUGCCAACAGCUCCUGUGGCCCCACCCAGAAGCCAUGCAGCACAAAAGGACCAAAAGGACAGCUAGAUUUCAUCUCGCACGUAACCAAUCAGCACUCCCCAUGCCCUAGCCCCCUGCUCAGCAAACUACCUUUGAACAACCUCUAACCUACGAGCCUUCAAUUGUAACCGAGCAGCUUAGCAGCUGUGAAUCCCAAAUAUCUGAGACAGGUCUCAAUCAGUUUAGAAAGUUUAUUUUGUCAAGGUUAAGGACAAGCCCGUGACACGGCCUCAGGAGGUCCUGACGACAUGUGCCCUGGGUGGCUGGGGCACAGCUUGCUUUCAUACAUUUUUAGGGAGACAUGAGAUAUCAAUCAAUAUGUGUAAGAUGGAAAAAGAAGAGAAAAAGAAGAAAAAAUGUAUGUAUAAGAUGUACAUUAGGCCGGGUGUGGUGGCUCACGCCUAUAAUCCCAGCACUUUGGGAGGCUGAGGCAGGUGGAUCGCCUGAGGUCAGGAGUUCGAGACCAGCCUGGCCAACAUAGUGAAACCCCAUCUCUACUAGAAAUACAAAAAAUUAUUGGGGCGCAGUGGUGGGUUUCACUCGCGUCCGUGUGAAGAGAACACCAAACAGGCUGUCUGUGAGCAAUAAAGCUGUUUAUUUCA